RNAcentral lists this long non-coding RNA (699 nucleotides) under Pan troglodytes (chimpanzee). Its description in RNAcentral is "lncRNA (ENSPTRG00000054092.1)". Lineage: Eukaryota; Metazoa; Chordata; Mammalia; Primates; Hominidae. The record is from RNAcentral.
AUCUUUAUACAAGCUCUUCAGCGGGAGAGAAACAAGUGAGAUGGGACUGAGACCCCAGGGCACAGACAGACUCAAACAGGGAGCAGGACGUCCCCAGAGAAGCCCCACAGGAUGUGCAGACCAGACACUCCAACAGCCCGGACCCUGCAGAGCGACUGUGUGUGUGCGAGUCUGUGUGUGCGCGUGUGUGAUGGCGCGAGUGUGCAUUGUGUGUGUAGGUGAGUGUAGGUGUGUGAGUGUGCAUGUGUGUGACUGUAGGUGUGUGCAUGUGUGUAGGUGUGUGUGCACAUGUGAAUGUAGGUGUUUGCAUGUGUGAGUGUAGGGUGUGUGUAGGUGUGUGCGUAGGUGUGUGCGUGAGUGCAUAUGUGUGUGUAGGUGUGUGCAUGUGUGUAGGUGUGUGUAGGUGUGUGCGCACAUGUGAAUGUAGGUGUUUGCAUGUGUGAGUGUAGGUGUGUGUGCGCGCGUGUGUGUGAAUGUGUGAGCGUGUGUGUGCGUGUGUUCACAUACCUGGAACACAUCCACUGAAUGACACUGGAAGCCGUAACCACGGAAUCACACAAAAGCUCAGAAAUAUUCAGAAUUCAAUCAAAAAUACUGGUCAGAGUUUUGUGACGCUACAAAGCUUAUGAACGAACGCACAGUUCCUUCAGAGGUUUUUCGGCCCAGCCUGGCCACAUUUAAAUAUCCUCAGAGGCAAAG